RNAcentral lists this ribosomal RNA (497 nucleotides) under uncultured bacterium. RNAcentral describes it as "partial 16S ribosomal RNA". It matches the Rfam family "Bacterial small subunit ribosomal RNA", at positions 28 to 507 of the family's 1533-position model. The record is from RNAcentral.
GAUGAACGCUGGCGGCGUGCCUAAUACAUGCAAGUCGAGCGAACGGACGAGAAGCUUGCUUCUCUGAUGUUAGCGGCGGACGGGUGAGUAACACGUGGAUAACCUACCUAUAAGACUGGGAUAACUUCGGGAAACCGUAGCUAAUACCGGAUAAUAUUUUGAACCGCAUGGUUCAAAAGUGAAAGACGGUCUUGCUGUCACUUAUAGAUGGAUCCGCGCUGCAUUAGCUAGUUGGUAAGGUAACGGCUUACCAAGGCAACGAUGCAUAGCCGACCUGAGAGGGUGAUCGGCCACACUGGAACUGAGACAAGGUCCAGACUCCUACGGGAGGCAGCAGUAGGGAAUCUUACGCAAUGGGCGAAAGCCUGACGGAGCAACGCCGCGUGAGUGAUGAAGGUCUUCGGAUCGUAAAACUCUGUUAUUAGGGAAGAACAUAUGUGCAAGUAACUGUGCACAUCUUGACGGUACCUAAUCAGAAAGCCACGGCUAACUACGUG